Megalobrama amblycephala (Wuchang bream) is the source of this 5258-nucleotide long non-coding RNA. RefSeq lists it as uncharacterized. The record is from RefSeq and is a predicted model, not a curated record. NCBI's taxonomy places the organism in Eukaryota, Metazoa, Chordata, Actinopteri, Cypriniformes, Xenocyprididae. The transcript is spliced from 7 exons.
UUCUGUCGGUGGGUGCUAUAAUGUUGCACGUCUUGCAUCACAUGCAGGUCAAAGUUUGAGCGCACACAUGUAAUAUCUGUGAGUUUUGUAAUAUCUCCCGUUUUGCAAGAGAAAAGGGACUGGGAUUCCAACUGUCAGCGGAGAGUGUUGUCUGCAACCAGAAAAUCAGGAUGGAUCCGUGACCUGCCAAUACCUCAGGUAUGAUUAUGGCCUUAUAUAUAUUUUGUGUCUGUUUUUACUCAAGAUAUUUCACAUUACUAUUAUAAAGUGAUGCCAAAUGAGUUCUGUAUUUAAGGCAAUGAUCAUUACCACAUCAUGCUCAAAGAAUUACUUCAAACCCACUGAUAAUUAAUAAAGAAUUACCACAACAUUCUCAAGGAAUUACUAAGAACCUGGAACAGUAUUCUAAAGUGAAAAUAUCCUUGUGCAUAAGUAAUAAAGCCUAAAGUAGUACUAACAUAAAAAAAAUGUAAUUUUACUUUAAAAGAUGACACAUUUUAAGAACAUUUACAUUUAUUGCAGUGUUAAUAACAUUUUCAACAAAAAAAAAUUAUAUUUCCAUACAACAAAACAAUGAAAAAAGUGAACACUAAAACAAGAAAACAAUACCAAAAUUUUACAUCAGAUUACUAGGAACUUACCAAAUAUAACAACGCAAAGACAGCAAAUAUGUGUAUGCAGGGGCGUACGGGACACCCCCGCAGCCCCCGCGGUGCGUGGGGGCCCCCACCCUAUGAUGGGCCCCGGCAGAUUCACCUAUUUGCUACAUAGCCUUUGCUUUUUUUAGAACUGAACUCAAAUGACUAAAGAUUAAAGCAGAGCCAGCUCUGCUCAGCUACCGGAAUGUCUGAAGUUCUUCUACAAAUGUAGCCUAGCCAAUAAGUCUAGUUAUUUCUUUAUUCUUUUAUUUAAAUACAUGAAUUUAGUUCAGGCCUUUAUCAUUUGAUGCACCGAUCUAAAAUUUGCGGCCGAAACAGCAAUUUUACGCGCUUGUCUAGAAGGGAACCUUGUAUUGGCCUAUGCAAAUUUGUGUCUAACUUAAAAUUUAGACCAGCUAAAAUAUAUUGUUAGACCAAAAAUAUCUUAUCAAUUAAUUAAGUAAUAAAGACAUGUAUUUAAGAAAUUUAAUAAAAACAGAAAUACGUCUAUUGCUUAUUCAAAGGCCGCGGAAAGUUCGUUUGUUACGCACUUCAAUCCAUUCCACACCCGACGUUUUGGUUUUCUUCCUAAUUAUUAAAUAUAGGCAAUUGGUUGAUGAAACAUUGAUUGAAAUUAAGAUACAAUUUCUACACAACGAAAUUCACUUUAAAGAAAGACUUACUAUAAAACAAAACUUAAUGAAGCGGGCAAACUCAUGUCUGACCCGCUGCAUGUCUCCCGACAUUGCGCAUCCAUCAUGCUAGGCUAUUCACUUUUCAUAAUAGGUGAAAUUUAAAAAAAAAAAAUAUAAGGCUAUAGCUCAAUAUUUAAAUAUAAAUGUGAAACUUAAUUGGCUACAUUUUUAUCCCUCUGGUCGACGAACGCGCCGGCGCGCUCUGAUGGAUUGUUUCCUCAUGACAGCUGAAACAACUUAAAAUAGACUUUAGAUUAGUGCAAAACUACAAAUGGUCUACUUUUAUUUAUGUACUGAUACACUCACAAUAACAACAAAACCUUGUAUUUUUGUAAAAUAAAAUAAAUACAAAACAGGGUGCGCUUUCAGCUUUCUCUGCGAGAAUCUUUCUUAAUUCGGUAGAGUGUUUGCUUUUUUGUGUGUGGUAGUCAGUUGAUAAAAAGAAUAAACAAGUUAAUCCUCAAAAGUUGGUAUUUUAAGAUGUAUAUAAAGUUAGUUUUUCUCAAAAUACAGCAUAUAGCUGAUAUAUAGAAUAGAGCAUAGGCCUAUAACUGAUAGAGUUGUUCUUUUAAAGUUUUUUCUCCUAGUUCUUUUACUAUUCUUUUUUUUUUUUACUGCGAGGCAUGAAAUUUUCUUGUAUAAUUUCUUCUCUACAAUUUGCGAUGCUUAUAGGCCAGUGUUUAAACUGAGAUGUGUUGGCCAUUACAUUUACUUUAUUGAGCUUACUGUUAAAUAAAAUUUGUUCCUCGGGGGCUAUAACUGAUGUUUGUGAAUUAUUGCUGUGAAGGAUCCUCCUGCUAUUUCUAAAGUAACUAAAAUCGGACCCGCGAAAUUAGCUUAAAUAUUUAUUCCUGCCUGGAUUUUAGUCUGCGAUAUCAAAAUCACUAAACAUUAUAUAGCAUAAAUAAUAUUAUUCAAUAAUAACACCAAAUUAAUCAAUGCAAUGAUAAUUCACCACAUGAUUCACUGUUAAAUCAGUUUUUGUGAACUGGGGGGGAGACGGACUCAGGUGCACAACAGAUUUUAACACAUGACAUCACUGCUCGUGGGAGGGGCCUCAUCUCAUUAUUUGCGGGGGGGCCUCACAGACAUGCGGUACGCCACUGUGUGUAUGCCUAAACUUCAACUUUCAGCCAAUGGUUCUCUAAUACAUCUAAUUCAUGUUAUUUUUUUCUGGCAAAGGUCAAUAAGCAUGCCAUUCUUCUUUUUUUCCUCGAUGAUGCUUCGAAGUGGCUCCCUUGUGCACAUUUCUUUGCACUGUUUGGCAAACUCUGACAGUUUCUGGCCUCUGUGGAACUUUUCACGCAAUGUCUUGUAGGCUUCAGCAUCACAAUACUCCAGCUCUGCUAUCGCUGCUGUAUCCACAACCGUUUUUCGAUCCACCCCACACUUGUGGUACGACACAUUGAUGUCCUAAGACACGAAUUGAUCGGUUUUUGUGAGAAACCGAACGGUAUUUAUAUCAUUAUUUAACUCUAAUACACCACUAUGUCCAACUGCCUUCAUCCUACCAUGACGGAAGUGAUCUCUAGCACACGUUGAAGUCUACACUGUAAAAAAUUGCUGUAAAUUUACAGCCAAUUUCCAACAGUAAAAUACCGUAAUUUCAAUAAACAGUUAAAUCCUGUAAAUUUACAGGUAAUGGUCGGUAAAUUAAUUACUUGCAGUAAAUUUACAGCACUUAACAGUAAAAAGGUUUGUUCCUGAGAAAAACGGCCUAAUACUGUAAAAAACAGCACAUGGGGGCGGAGCAUCUUCAACGAGCCACAUUCAAACUACUGCUGAAGUGCUGCGGUCAACCAACGGAAUCUCUUAAGAAGGAAACUGUUCAAGGCUCUAAGGACCUUUGAGAUAACUGAAAUCGUUUGGCGAAGUGAUAUGGAACUGUAAUGCGGUCAAAUCCUCAAGAUGCCGGGAACUACUGCCUUGAACAGCUGUAGUAUAAACAGGUGAAAAUCCGGGGCAAUGGAUGAAACGGUGGAUGAUCAGCCUGGAAGGCUGCAUAAUCUGCGAGGGUGUGCAGCCAACUUUUCUCACUGGACUUGCUGCAUUGUUCUCUCUGUAUUAUAUCCUUAAUUUGCAGUACCAGGAGGAAGCAGCAUCCACACUGGAAUUCCUUCAAAGUGAACUCAGUGCAGGAUUCCUUGUUUACAUCGGAAUGCCAACACAGUAUUGGCCGAAGCUGAACACGUGAGCAGACAUACAUGCAUGUGAUGUUUACACAGGAAAAAUAUCUUAAUUUGUGUUCCGAAGAUGAACAAAGGUCUUACGGACGUUUUGUUGGAAUAAAUCCGGAAAAGGGGACCAAGGCUGCACGGGGAAAAGUUACAUCCAAAAAAACUGGGAAAAAAGUGCAAAAGAAAACCAUAACUGUCAACACCAAAGUGUCAAACCUCUUAAAGAGACUUAUGGACUUUGAGUGGGACUUCAUUUAAAAAGUGUAGUUGACACACCCCACACCCAUGCAGGUUGGUUUCUGAAAAAUGUGCUGGCCUGGUGAGAUUUGUUGAUGGGUGUUUAUUUUUUAUAUGCACUGAAUAUUACUUGAAUACUUUUACAUUUUUAUCGGAAUAAAAAAAAAACACUAACUUGGCUUUAUUCCUUUUUGUUACCCAUGUAAUGCUGAGUUAUUAUAGCAUUUAAAAUUUGAAUGAUUUGGUUGUGACUAGUAUAUAAUUUAACAGCUAUCAAUGUAAAAUAAUUUCCCUGUAAAAAAACAGUAAUCUACUGGCAGCUGUGGUUGCCAGCAUGAUACUGUAAAAAUACAGAGCACUAUCGUUUUUGAAAUUAACAGCCAAAUACAGUUUUUUUCAGCUACAGUAGAGUACUCUCUUUCUUCUUCUCAUCUUUCCUCUGUCGUGUCAUCCUCCCUUCCCUCACCCUCACAAUUCUCAUCUCUGGAUGUGAAUACAGCAACAGACACUUUAUGUUCCACAUUAACUUCAUCUCUAGAUAGUAUCUGUCCUCUGUCAUCCAGGCCUGCACGUGCUCUAAUCCCUGGUUAUCUGAUGUUCUUCGUGAACAUCGGACCAAACUCAGGGCUGCAGAGAGGAAGUGGCACAAAUCAAAAGACCAAUUUGACCUAUGUAGCUAUCAGUCUCUGCUCUCAUCCUUUUCUGCUGAAAUUCAUGCUGCUAAAUCCUCCUAUUUCCACAACAAAAUCAACAGCGUUUCAAACACACGUACACUUUUCAAAACAUUCAACUCUCUCCUCUGUCCCCCUCCAUCACCACCCACCUCAUCCCUUACUGCUGAUAAUUUUGCUACAUUUUUCACUGACAAAACAUCUACCAUCAGCAGUCAGUUCUCCGCUCCACACACACAGGAACACAGACCAACCACACACACAGCCACACACCUCCUCUCUUCAUUCUCCCCCCUCACUGAGACAGAAGUAUCCAAACUUCUCCUCUCCAAUCAUCCCACCACCUGCCCUCUAGAUCCCAUCCCUUCACACCUUCUACAAGCCAUUGCUCCCACACUUUUACCAGCACUUACACACAUUAUCAACACAUCUCUCCACACUGGCACUUUCCCUAACACAUUCAAGCAGGCUCGGGUAACCCCACUGCUUAAGAAACCCACAUUAAACACGUCUCUUGUAGACAGCUACAGACCUGUUUCUCUCCUACCAUUCAUAGGAAAAACACUUGAACGAGUUGUUUUCAACCAGGUGUCAUCUUUCCUCUCACAGAGCAACCAAUUGGAUGUCAAUCAAUCUGGUUUCAAGAGUGGCCACUCGACUGAGACUGCACUGCUGUCGGUCACUGAAUCCCUGCGGAUUGCAAAAGCUAAUUCCAAAUCAUCAGUUCUCAUUCUGCUCGAUCUAUCUGCUGCCUUUGACACAGUGAAUCAUCAGAUCCUCCUGUCCACCCUCUCGUCACUGGGCAUCACAGAUGAUCCAACAGUAGCUGCACGAAUCUCA